CACUCAUGCACUGGAAGGAAAUCCUUUAUUGCAUUAUCCUGUCACAGAAAGUUUUUCGACUUGGCUUUUGCAACGGCAAAUAAUUUCACAAUUUCAUUUCAAGCGCCGAAUUGAACGGUCGACCUGGAAAAAGCACCAAGCACCACUCGUAGGAGCGCAACACCGAGCAGCAGUUCCCUUCAACCACCGGACGCCACUCUCUGGCGAAUGGUGUUACAAACAUUCUCAAUUAGAAAUAUAUAUAAAACCAAGUGGGGCACUGUCUUGCAUUGUCAUUACAAAUCAACCGUUUGAAAAGUCGAUGUCACAGUGAAAACACAAAUUCUAAAAGAAUAUCUAACUUACAAAAAAGAAACACAAGUGCAUGCAGACUGUGAAGGACAGUGAAUAUUUGAGAACUUUUUGGUGUUUUUAAGUUUUGUGCAAAACUUUUUUUCCACUUGUCUUUCGGUUGUCCGUGGAAAGUUUCAAAUCUUCGUGUGUGAUUUUGUGUUUUUUUGUCGAUAAAACUCGCAUACUUAUUUGCCUUAACUGUGCAAUUUACUGAAUUAUUUCACAACAACUAAAGCAAAUCUAAAUUUUUAAGAUUUUGUAAAAAGUUUUUUACAUAAAUUUAUUUUAAAUGUUGAAACGCAAACGUUAUAAAAAGCAACACAACCACUAAAUGUGAGAAGAAACACGCAAUUUGCGCAGCGAAAUUAAAAUUGUUGGAAAAAACCAAAAGUUGUAUGCUUCAGCCAAGUAACGGUGUAACAUUUGCCAUGAACCUCAUACCAAAUAUGUGCGAUAAAAUGUUUAUACUGAUUUUAUUUUAUUAUAACGGUUCAUAUAAUUGGAGUAAAAAGGUUUAAACAAAUAGAAAACGCAUAGCACUUGAAGCGCAGCACGCAGUAAAGCCGCAGAGGAAGGACACCAGUGUAGCAGUGCGCGGCAGUGACGUUGGGACGGACAAUUUGUCGACGUGUAAAAAGUUCGAAAAUUCCCAAUUUGAUUUUAGGAAAUAAAAUAAUUUUCAACACUUUGAAUUUUAAAAAACAAAAAAAAUUAUACUACUAAGAAAACUAAUUAACAACAACAACAAUAAUUACAAAAAUUUGUGUAUUAACUAAAUAAAAAUCAACAACGAAUUUCGAGAUACUUGAUAACAUAAACAAAAAGUAUUUCACAACUCACGGAAAAUUCGCCAAACAGCGCGAAAGUGGAUAACUCGAAAAAGAAACCGCUUGUCAACACAAACAUGCCUAACGAAUUCUAAAGAUAAAAACGGCAAGUAAAUAGUGAAAACAGGUAAUAAACAUUAAAAGCGUUAAUGAAAAAGUGAACAAUAGCCAAAAAAAAACAGUAAAAAAAGCUACGAGGCGCUUAAAUUUAAAGUAAACAAAAAAAUUCCAAAACAAUAAAACAAGCAGUAAACGAAACGACUUUUAUUUUCGUACAGCACUACGUCAGCUGCCGGAAAGCGCGAGCUGAUUGGAGUGCAAACUAAGCAAUUGUCGGAUAUUGCGACUCCGAGCCACGCUGCGCCUAUCAGCAGACCGCAGACAAGCAGCCAAGCAGCUAAGCCGCCAGUCAGCUGUUUACGACGCAAUAAAGGUUUACAAAUACAACUACAUUUAUAUGUAUGAAUGUAUAUACAUUUAGAGCGGCGAAAUAUUUAUUGUGAUUAAAUUACCUGUGCAGCAGGCACUAUACUCCGCGUAAAUUGUCUCCUAACCCCGCUGUCAGCACUGACAGCUGUAUAACUGUCGUAAAUCGACGUUACAAACUAGCGUAGUGGCACAAUAAAGCCAUAAAUUGGGCUGUAGAGACGUCAGCGGCGUAGACCUUCAAAGUCAAAAUACAAGCAACAGCAUAGACAACAACAAAUACAACAAAUAUUGAAAAGCAAACUUUUGUUAUCGUGCCACACAACUAAUACACGUACAUAUGUAUGUAUAUACGUGUGGCUGUAGCAGCGACAAAGCAAAAAAUAACAAUAAACAUAGCAACAACAAAAAACAAGAAUAAAAACUUAUAAACACAAAUAAGAAAAAAUAGAUAAGAAAAAAAUCAAAAUACAAAAAAAAAUCAAAAUAAAAAUAUUUUACUAAUAAUCAAAGCAACACACAAACAAAGCGCGACAUUAGUUGUACAUUAGCGCAAACAAACAUACAUACAUACAUACAAACAGACAGAUAGACGUAGUCUGAUAGCUGGCAUUCGCCACUCGCCGCCGAUCAUCGGCUCUAUAUAUAUGCGCUGGCACAGCUCGUAGCCACAGAUCGUACGUAUGCUGAUCGUCAUUUAAUGUGCAUAGCAAAUUGCCAACAAUUCAGUCGUCUUUUGACUUUUGUGCGGAUAACUACCAAGCGAACAAGGAUCACAGUGCAUUGAGCCACAAACAAAAGGAGAACAGCGCCCAGAGAGCCACAACAAAAACCACAGCAGCGAGCAGCGAUAUACCGUUCCAAAUCGCCAAGUAAUUUGGAUCAUUCGAAUUUUCUGUGCUGAACGGUGCAAAGAAACCGUUUUCCAAUGUCGAUUAAUUCGCCAAUACACACAAACUCUGACCUGAUUUAAACAGGCAAAAAGCAGGCAACCAAAUUCGUAUAGCAGUGCGUGUUAAAAAUAACAACAACAACAGCAAUUAGAACAACGCCACACAUAAAGGGUGUUGUUUUUUCGUUUCCGUUUCGUUUUCGAAAAUAUUAUCUAUCAGUUUCGUUUUGCGUUUCUCGUUAUUUUUCUUGUUUUUUUUUUAAA
Long non-coding RNA from Bactrocera dorsalis (oriental fruit fly), 2742 nucleotides. RefSeq lists it as uncharacterized. The record is from RefSeq and is a predicted model, not a curated record. The transcript is spliced from 2 exons. NCBI's taxonomy places the organism in Eukaryota, Metazoa, Arthropoda, Insecta, Diptera, Tephritidae.